UACGUAGGUGGCGAGCGUUGUCCGGAAUCACUGGGUGUAAAGGGCGCGCAGGCGGGUUGGUAAGUCAAUGGUGAAAUCGUACGGCUCAACUGUACAAUUGCUUUUGAUACUGCCGAUCUUGAGUGCGGAAGAGGGUGAUGGAAUUCCUGGUGUAGCGGUGAAAUGCGUAGAUAUCAGGAAGAACACCGGUCGCGAAGGCGGUCACCUGGUCCGUAACUGACGCUCAGUGCGCGAAAGCGUGGGUA
RNAcentral lists this ribosomal RNA (245 nucleotides) under uncultured bacterium. RNAcentral's name for it is "partial 16S ribosomal RNA". It matches the Rfam family "Bacterial small subunit ribosomal RNA", at positions 524 to 767 of the family's 1533-position model. The record is from RNAcentral.